ACGGAGGGUGCAAGCGUUAUCCGGAUUCACUGGGUUUAAAGGGUGUGUAGGCGGGCUGUUAAGUCAGUGGUGAAAUCUCAAGGCUCAACCUUGAAACUGCCAUUGAUACUAUCAGUCUUGAAUCUUGUUGAGGUAGGCGGAAUAUGUCAUGUAGCGGUGAAAUGCUUAGAUAUGACAUAGAACACCGAUUGCGAAGGCAGCUUACUAAACAAGCAUUGACGCUGAGGCACGAAAGCGUGGGGAUCAAACAGGA
RNAcentral lists this ribosomal RNA (253 nucleotides) under uncultured prokaryote. RNAcentral's name for it is "partial 16S ribosomal RNA". It matches the Rfam family "Bacterial small subunit ribosomal RNA", at positions 525 to 777 of the family's 1533-position model. The record is from RNAcentral.